UACGUAGGGGGCAAGCGUUGUCCGGAUUUAUUGGGCGUAAAGAGCGUGUAGGCGGCUUUAUAGGUCUGCUGUGAAAACUCGAGGCUCAACCUCGAGCUGUCGGUGGAAACCGUGGGGCUAGAGUCCGGAAGAGGAGAGUGGAAUUCCCGGUGUAGCGGUGAAAUGCGCAGAUAUCGGAAAGAACACCCAUGGCGAAGGCGGCUCUCUGGGACAGUACUGACGCUGAGACGCGAAAGCGUGGGGAGCAAACAGG
RNAcentral lists this ribosomal RNA (253 nucleotides) under uncultured bacterium. RNAcentral describes it as "partial 16S ribosomal RNA". It matches the Rfam family "Bacterial small subunit ribosomal RNA", at positions 524 to 776 of the family's 1533-position model. The record is from RNAcentral.